RNAcentral lists this ribosomal RNA (440 nucleotides) under uncultured bacterium. RNAcentral describes it as "bacterial SSU rRNA". It matches the Rfam family "Bacterial small subunit ribosomal RNA", at positions 338 to 795 of the family's 1533-position model. The record is from RNAcentral.
CCUACGGGUGGCAGCAGUGGGGAAUAUUGCACAAUGGGGGAAACCCUGAUGCAGCAACGCCGCGUGAGCGAUGAAGGCCUUCGGGUCGUAAAGCUCUGUCCUAAGGGAAGAAUACUGACGGUACCUUAGGAGGAAGCCCCGGCUAACUACGUGCCAGCAGCCGCGGUAAUACGUAGGGGGCGAGCGUUAUCCGGAAUUAUUGGGCGUAAAGGGUGCGUAGGCGGCCUUGUAAGUCAGGUGUGAAAGGCUACGGCUCAACCGUAGUUAGCACUUGAAACUGCAGGGCUUGAGUGCAGGAGAGGGGUGUGGAAUUCCAAGUGUAGCGGUGAAAUGCGGAGAUAUUGGGAGGAACACCAGUAGCGAAGGCGGCUCGCUGGACUGUAACUGACGCUGUGGCACUAAAGCGUGGGGAGCGAACAGGAUUAGAUGCCCUAGUAGUC